Molecule: non-coding RNA, 82 nt
Filed under: Nitrosomonas sp. Nm166
Lineage: Bacteria; Pseudomonadati; Pseudomonadota; Betaproteobacteria; Nitrosomonadales; Nitrosomonadaceae
Source: RNAcentral
GUUUCUGGCGGGCUGUGGGGGGAGCUUUAUGCUCGCCGGUUCCUGUAUCCGGUCUGUCAACCUGCACAGUUCCGCCUCCCUA